Ailuropoda melanoleuca (giant panda) is the source of this 5311-nucleotide RNA transcript. It is a transcript of the gene named XK related X-linked, with no coding region annotated. The record is from RefSeq and is a predicted model, not a curated record. NCBI's taxonomy places the organism in Eukaryota, Metazoa, Chordata, Mammalia, Carnivora, Ursidae. The transcript has 4 exons.
GUGCGAGCUAGUCAGGAGAGCGGGGUAGAAGUGGGCGUCUGCUGCUCUGGGGAAAGAGGAAAGCUGUGGCUCCCUCUGGGAUCCGGGGGUCGUGGUGAGAAGCCGUUCCGAGCGCUAGCCCAAGCCCCGUUUUUUGUCGCGCCUCUCCACAAGGAGCAUCCGUGGGCUGCCCGCCCUGAAACUGGCAGGCUGGUGUGGUUUGGCCCCAGCCGUCCCUCCCAUUUCGCCCGCCCCCGCCUUCAGUGCCUUAGUUCGCGAAGCCGCCGACCUCUCGCAGCUGGAACUGCAGGCUAGGGAGGACCCCAGCAGCCCACGGCGCCCCAGAGUCUGAGGACAUCCGCCUUUGCCCUCCCGGGCUGGCGCCCCGCACGUCGUGCUCCUCGCUAGUUAAGUUUCCCUGUGGAGAAGAAGCCCCUCUAGCUUUCUCUGGAUCCUGUAGCGCGCGCGCGCGCUCGACCUCUCUGCCCCCGAGACUGCGCUCCGGCCCGGGCUGUGCCUCUGCUUCUGCCCCCCGCCGGCCGCCUUGGGGGCGGAGCUUGGGGAAUCGGUGGAGCAGGCGGGAGAACCUUCGACUCGGCGCGGGUCCCGGGAGAGCAGCGGCGAGCGGGCGAGCCAAUAGCCACAGUCUAACGAUAGCUUAGGGUACCUAGGCACUGCAAUGAGCCCCCGAAGGGACGCUCAGGCUGCACCCCCUCUUCUGCCCUGGUUCAGUUCUCGGCAGGUUUGAGAGGGCAUACUGGUCAGGACUCCUGGAGAGGUGCUACUGAGUGUUGGCGCCCCAACAGAGUGGCUACCCCCCUCCCUGCGGGGCUGGAAAAGGCGAAGGGGCCAAGGAGGCAGCUGUCUCCAAGUCUUCCACGUGCCUGGAAUUGGACUUCGGACUGGGCGCUAAAAUGGUUGCUUUUGCCCUGUCCAGGUUUCAUAGCACGUAUGUUGACGAUUGGAAUCCUGGGCCAAUGAAGAGUCAAGUUCAAAGUGGUACUCCUUGGUUCUCCAUCCCAUACUCCAACAGGUGUAACUUGAAACUAUAAAGAGGGGUCUCCUGCUUUAACUAGCAGAUCUCCGUUCUGGAAUUGUACUUGACUGCUCUCUUCAAUACUUGGACUGCAGUGGCUACAGGGUUCUCUUGGGUGGGGGUGGGGUUGCUCCGAAGACCAGGCUGAAACACCCGGAACCUCAACAAUGGACCGAGUUUAUGAAAUUCCUGAGGAGCCCACCAUGGAUCCAAUUUCAUCUCUGGAGGAAGAUGUCAUCCGUGGGGCCAACCCCCGAUUUACCUUUCCAUUUGGCAUCCUCUUCUCCACCUUUUUGUACUGUGGGGAGGCUGCAUCUGCCUUGUACAUGGUUAGAAUCUAUCGAAAGAAUAGCGAAACCUACUGGAUGACAUACACCUUAUCCUUCUUUAUGUUUUCAUCCAUUAUGGUCCAGUUGACCCUCAUUUUUGUUCACAGAGAUCUGGCCAAAGACAAGCCGCUAUCAUUGUUUAUGCAUCUAAUCCUCUUGGGACCUGUUAUCAGAUGUUUGGAGGCCAUGAUUAAGUACCUCACACUGUGGAAGAAAGAGGGGCAGGAGGAGCCCUAUGUCAGCCUCACCCGAAAGAAGAUGCUAAUAAAUGGCGAGGAGGUGCUGAUAGAAUGGGAGGUGGGCCACUCCAUCCGGACCCUGGCUAUGCACCGCAAUGCCUACAAACGUAUGUCACAGAUCCAAGCCUUCCUGGGCUCAGUGCCCCAGCUGACCUAUCAGCUCUAUGUGACUCUGAUCUCUGCAGAGGUCCCCCUGGGUAGAGCUGUGCUAAUGGUCUUUUCCCUGAUAUCUGUCACCUAUGGGGCUACCCUGUGCAAUAUGUUGGCUAUCCAGAUCAAGUAUGAUGAAUACAAGAUUCGCCUUGGGCCAUUGGAAGUCCUCUGCAUCACCAUCUGGCGGACAUUGGAGAUCACUUCCCGCCUCGUGAUUCUGGUGCUCUUCUCAGCCACCUUGAAAUUGAAAGCUGUGCCGUUCUUACUGCUCAACUUCCUGAUCAUCCUCUUUGAGCCCUGGGUUAAGUUCUGGAGGAGUGGUGCCCAGAUGCCCAAUAACAUUGAGAAAAAUUUCAGCCGGGUCGGCACCCUGGUGGUGCUGAUUUCCAUCACCGUUCUCUAUGCGGGCAUCAACUUCUCUUGCUGGUCAGCUUUGCAGUUGAAAUUGGCAGACAGGGACCUUGUUGACAAAGGUCAGAACUGGGGGCAUAUGGGCCUGCACUAUAGUGUAAGGUUGGUAGAGAACGUGAUCAUGGUUUUGGUUUUCAAGUUCUUUGGAGUGAAAGUGUUACUGAAUUACUGUCAUUCCUUGAUUGCUUUGCAGCUCAUCAUUGCUUAUGUGAUUUCCAUUGGCUUCAUGCUCCUUUUCUUUCAAUACUUGCACCCAUUGCGCUCACUCUUUACCCACAACGUAGUGGAUUACCUCCAUUGUGUCUGCUGCCACCGGCACCCUCGGGGCAGGAUUGAGAACUCAGAGCCAUCCUGUGCUGCCGAAGCAAGGCAAAGCGUUGUCUGAGAUUCUAUCUUCCGGGUCUUUUGGGAUAGGCUGGGGGCUGCCAAGAGCAACUUUGCCAUUGAAGGAAAGGACGAGGCUCAUAGUGAUGAAAGAAAGUACCAUUGGGUUCAGGCCCUCUGCUUAUAUUUUCUCAGGGAUCAGAGCAGCAAGCAACUAAAGAGUGCAUUGUUAUAAUUGCUUUACAUAUUUUAACUCAUUUAAUUCUUGCAACAACCCAUUUUAUGGAUGAAUGAAAUGAGGCAGACUUCAAAUCCCGGUAGACUGGCUCUGAAAUCUGUGUUUCUAGCCACUAUGCCACACCAGAUCACUGCCUCUAGGGAAGCCUAACCACCUCACCUUCUGUCUGUUAAUAUAAACUACUACUUGGAGAUUUUUGCCAUGAGGAACCUACACACUAAGUUACAGAUGAAGAAACUGAGGCCGAAAAAAGUGAGACUUUUCCAAGGCAACACUGAUAUUGAGUGGGACCUGGGAGUUCAAUUCAGCUUCAUCACUCCAUGUUGUCUUCAAUAGAGGUCGCUUUGUGAGGUCUGGUUGUGAUCCAACAUAGGGAAAAGAAUUUAAAAGAACAAUAAAUAAUAAAAUAAUUCAUUUUAAACAAUACCACAUUAUCAUUACGGGAUGUUUUAUUUUUAGACACUGUGAUCAAGGCCAGAUUAAUACCUUUAGAGGCUCUAAGUUCUAAAAAAGAGAAGGCUGUCUUUCCCAAACCAUCCUCUAUGGAUUCAAAUUAAAAACAAUUAAUAAUAAUUACAGUUAUAAAUGGUAAAUUAAAUACAAAUACCAUGUUUUUUUUAUCAUGACUGCUUAAAUCCUUCUUUUUGAAAACCAACAAUCAAAUUCUCUUUUCUUCAAGAUUUUUAUUCUUUUAGGUCCUCUCUACACCCAACAUGGGGAUUGAGCUCACAGCCCCGAGAUCAAGAGUCAUGUGCUCUUCCAACUGAGCCAGCCAGGCACCCCCCAACAAUCAAAGUCUUAGAAGAAUUCUUGAACGCUUUUUUCUGGGUGUCCUAAGUACAUGGUUUCAACUGUUAAGUAGUUCAGUACUGACCAUUACUGUUACAUAUUAAUUCCUGGAAAAGGUGUAUAAAAGUUACAAUUGUAAACAUAAGUUUGGGACAAACAAUGACAGAGGCGUGAUCAGGAAGAAGACAGAGCAAGCAAGUCAGGGAGGGGCUCUGUGUUUGCAAUUUACAAACAUCUACCUAGGAUGGGUGGAAUCAACUGUCUAUAGGAAAUCUUUCCGAAAGACUACAGCCUAUAGUGUAACUGUGGAUAAGUUACCGAUGGCAUUUAAGUACUCCCUAGAGGUCUCCAGGAAGUAGCCAACCCCAAACUUGUCAAUCUAUAAACCUGGGAAAUGCAAACAUUAAGACAGUCUGGUAAAACAGAAGGGAGGGGAGGUAUUAUAAGGUCUACAGCCAAAAGAAGGAAAGCAAUUCUUGGAGAAUUUACAAAAAAGGGCGAGGUUGACGGUAAGAAUUUUUUUAGUGUGUCCAGGAUUGCCCAAGAAAGAGGAGCCUCAGAUUUGGGGCAUGAAUAUUUUAUUUGGAUUAAUAUAAUCCUAUUUUGAAAGGGCCCAACUGAUCUUGCUACUGUAGUUUGUUAAUAAUAUUCCAUUAAGAUCAUCAGACUCUCUUUGCCCAGAUUCCAUGCCCACCGAUUUAUCAACUGACUUCUUAGUACUCUGAUAUUGGGAAUAGGGGCCCCUUACCACAGACACAAGGCUCUAUUCAGUGUGGCAUGUAUAAUCCUUUAGAUAAUACAUAAAUUGUCAUCUAGAUUAUAAAUCAUUCUCUUAUGAAUCACGGGAUCUCAACAUUGGAGCAUACUUCAAAGACAUUUAAUUAACCAUCCGGUACUGAAAUCCCCCCUAUAAAAUAGCUGGCAAGGAGUCAUUCCUUUUUCCUUAAGCAUCUCAAAUAACAGGAAAUUCGUUACCUCUUCACUUCUCUGAACACCUGUGUUAGAAAAUUUUGCUUUGUAUUGAACAAAAAUGUAUUACUACUUUAGAGCCCUCAGUCUUAGGUUGACCUCUUGGGACCACAUACAAAACAAACUAAAUCUCAAGAAAAAGAAAGAAAGAAAGAAAGAAAACCCACACACAAAAAGAUACCCAAACGUAGAUAAGCUCAUGUUCUGGACAAAUCUCUUUUCCAGGCCAAAUUCCCUAAAUCCUUUAACACCUCCUAAUAUAAGAUGGUUUCAAAUCAUUACAACAUCCUGGUUACUCUCCUAAGGGCAGGCUUUAGUUUCUCUUUUAAGGUGUGGUCUUGGGCAUGGUCAAGUGCUUUUGUAAUAUUUGCAAAAGUAAGAUAUUUUUAUCACACGUGGUUAAGAUGAUGGUCUCUUUCUACUCCUCCUUCCUCUCUGUCAUACUUUCCCUCAUGUCAAGCCACACUGGAGCGGCCAUGAGUAUUUCUGGAUAGAGCUAGUGGAAGUUGUGUUGGUGGUAUAUGUAGUUUGGAUUUAGGAGAAUAUAUAUAGCGUGGUUCACUGAUACUUUCAUGUAUAGUUAACUGAUUGCUAGCUUAGUGUAGGAAUGGCUUCCAGGAAUCCCCUUACCACCCACUGUGCUAAUUUCACGUAGCAUUGUGACUCUAAGUUGCAGGCAUGUUAGAAAGCUAAUGAAAGUGUUGUUUUUAUGAGUUUUGUGAUAGUGAAGAGAUUUUUCAGCUUUUUAAAAUAUAAAAUGUGCUAUGCAUUGAACUGUACCCUUACAAUGAGGAAAUUUUAUGGUAUGUAAAUUUUAUCUCAAUAAAGCUGUUAAAAAUGUGCU